UAACUUUAUGUAAGUGAAAUUUUUACAAAAACUAUUAAUAGAGAGAGGUGAGGGAUUGUAAGUAAUUUUAUAUUUAAGAUCUUUAUAUGUUGGUAGAAAGAUAUUUUGAAAAUAUUUUCUUUCUUUAUUAUUAUUAUUAUAUGUAAUUAAGAUGUUAUUUAUCAUUUGAAUUGUAAGCUAAUUAAUUAUAACAAUAAAAUUUCUACUGAUAUAUAAAGUUAUAUGAAAUUAGUAUUAAGGAAAAAAGAUAUUGAGAGGCUAAUUUUAGUAUGUGUUUAUCUAUUUAUUUAUUUUUUUUUGAGAGAUAGGUAGCACGUUACCUGCUUCGUUUAUUUUAUUUAGAAAUAAACUUAGAUAGAAAUGUGUUUAUGUAUUUACGUUACCUGCUUCGUUUAUUUUAUUUAGAAAUAAACUUAGAUAGAAAUGUGUUUAUGUAUUUGUGAUUUUAAUACUGGUAUUUGAUUUAUCUUUGAAUCAAUA
This 480-nucleotide long non-coding RNA is filed under the name Ananas comosus (pineapple). RNAcentral's name for it is "long non-coding RNA (ACOM_LNC018745)". Lineage: Eukaryota; Viridiplantae; Streptophyta; Magnoliopsida; Poales; Bromeliaceae. The record is from RNAcentral.